GGGGCGAGGAAGCUGCCGGGGAAGUGAGAUGACGGUCGCGGGGGUGCCCAGGAGCCCUGAAAAACUUGUGCCCUGGGCACGGCAAAAUCUGCAGGUUGCAGAAAGUCUCAACUGAUCCUGGCAUACCCCGAGGUGCCGACUUUUAGAGCUGAAGAUGCAAGAAAGAUUGGGAUCCUGCGAUGCACCGAACCUGUCUCUCGAAGUGUGUGCGCCCUGCUUCCUGUGUUAAACAAUUUGCUACAAGGUCACACAAUUUUAACUAGAAGACUGAGAUGUGAACCUGGGUGGUCUGAUGUGAACACCACUGUCUGGUAAUCCCAACGCUCUGCUGCUUUGCGACAGAGAAUGUUUUAGGGAACACACAGACUAUGUACUUAACCAAAUCUGGAAUUUGCCGUGCACUGAUUUCAUAUUGUUCAAACACAGAUGUUUUACAAUCAACUUGUACAGUUAACACAAUUAUCACAGUGGUCCUGAGGUGAUGUACAUCCUCAGCUUACGAAGAUAACAGGAUUAAGAGAUUAAAGUAAAGACAGGCAUAAGAAAUUAUAAAAGUAUUAUUUGGGAACUGAUAAAUGUCCAUGAAAUCUUCACAAUUUAUGUUCCUCUGCCGUGGCUCCAGCCGGUCCCUCCGUUCGGGGUCCCUGACUUCCCGCAACACAUCUUAGAUUCUUAUUACAGAAACUUAACAUUCCCAGAAGAAGCCUCGCCUUUUUAUUUCUAAUUUUGGCUAUGAAUUCCUAGCUAUGACCCAUUUGCCCCAUUCUAACUAUUUCCAGUGGUAGGGGGAAAAGAACAAGACAGUAAUAUAAUGUAGAGAUGAGCUAAUUGUGGUAAUAAUAAGCACUUGUGUAGUGCUUUCAUAUACAUGAUCUCUCUUAAUGUUCAUAACAAAGCUGUGAGGUUGGUGCUCUUAUCUCUCUUUGGUUAAUGAAGGACUGAGGCCUAGGGAAUUGGAAGUGACCUGCCAAGAUGACAGAACAAUAAAGUGGCAGAGUUGGGUUAAAUCCUUGGUUAUUUUAAUGACAAAUGACAGACCAAUAAUUGAUUCCUCAAUAAAACAGUGGAAGUCA
This 1073-nucleotide long non-coding RNA is filed under the name Homo sapiens (human). RNAcentral describes it as "HSALNT0294218". The record is from RNAcentral. Lineage: Eukaryota; Metazoa; Chordata; Mammalia; Primates; Hominidae.